CAGCAAAAUUAACUCUCUACCAAUACCCUCUCUAGCAACCAAACUAUAAAAAAUAAGGUGGUAAACAUUGACAGUGUGCGCUGUCACAGAAAAUUUUACACUUUUAAAAAUAAAUUAAAUGAAGUAUGAGCAGCGAUGACCUUUUUUGUGUUGAAAAUAUUACGUCUACUGUCACCGUUUUGGUGUUCGAAAGUCAAUAAUUUGUGAUUGUGAUGUCUUUUUUGUGUGUUGCUCCGUCAGUUUGGUGUGCAAAAAUGAAAGAAAGUUUAAAAUUUGUCUUUUUCGUGUGACGUCGGUAUUGCUUUAAAAAAAAGCGCGGCGCGGCAACUCCAUUACAAAAAAAGUCAGUGUCAAAUUUGUCAAAAUAAGGUGGUAUUUUGACUGCGUCAAAACGAAGUUUGGUUGCUAGAGAGGGUAUUGA
Long non-coding RNA from Bradysia coprophila, 421 nucleotides. NCBI's taxonomy places the organism in Eukaryota, Metazoa, Arthropoda, Insecta, Diptera, Sciaridae. The record is from RefSeq and is a predicted model, not a curated record.